Molecule: ribosomal RNA, 363 nt
Filed under: Triticum aestivum (bread wheat)
Lineage: Eukaryota; Viridiplantae; Streptophyta; Magnoliopsida; Poales; Poaceae
Description: partial small subunit ribosomal RNA
Source: RNAcentral
AUGUUCUAUUAUGGGCUCGAUUUCCAUGAUCUGGCUCUGGAUUCCAUCCUUCACAUCUCGUCGUUUAUCGUCAUAUGUGAGGCCUUCCUCCGCAUCGCCCCACACUUCGGCUUAUGGCUCAAGACCUUUAAUGUGAAGCCGAAGAUGAUCGAUGGGCGACACGCAGAGUGCGGAGGCGCCAUAAUAAGCAAAGGCGUCGAUGCUCCAUGGCCAAAGGGAUCCUUCCCCGAGAUGUCCAAUUUAUGGCAGCGGGAGUGGUUUUACAUCACGGCUCCCCGAAGUACUAAGUGGGUAGCUGCCCCUGCCUUCCGUUCGGGCCCCCCGCUACAACUGGCGUCAUGGGUCAACAAGGGGCUGGACUAG